RNAcentral lists this ribosomal RNA (465 nucleotides) under uncultured bacterium. RNAcentral's name for it is "bacterial SSU rRNA". It matches the Rfam family "Bacterial small subunit ribosomal RNA", at positions 8 to 507 of the family's 1533-position model. The record is from RNAcentral.
AGAGUUUUGAUCAUGGCUCAGGAUGAAUGCUGGCGGCGUGCCUAAUACAUGCAAGUCGAGCGGUAAGGCCCUUCGGGGUACACGAGCGGCGGACGGCUGAGUAACGCGUGGGAACAUGCCCCAAAGUGAGGGAUAACGCACCGAAAGGUGUGCUAAUACCGCAUAUGGUCUUCGGAUUAAAGGAUUUUAUCCGCUUUGGGAGUGGCCCGCGUACGAUUAGAUUGUUGGUGAGGUAACGGCUCACCAAGUCGACGAUCGUUAACUGGUCUGAGAGGAUGAUCAGUCAGACUGGAACUGAGACACGGUCCAGACUCCUACGGGAGGCAGCAGUAAGGAAUCUUCCACAAUGGGCGAAAGCCUGAUGGAGCAACGCCGCGUGCAGGAUGAAGGCCCUCGGGUCGUAAACUGCUUUUAUGAGUGAAGAAUAUGACGGUAACUCAUGAAUAAGCACCGGCUAACUACGUG